CCUACGGGUGGCUGCAGUGGGGAAUAUUGGACAAUGGGGGGAACCCUGAUCCAGCGACGCCGCGUGAGUGAAGAAGUAUUUCGGUAUGUAAAGCUCUAUCAGCAGGGAAGAAAAUGACGGUACCUGACUAAGAAGCCCCGGCUAACUACGUGCCAGCAGCCGCGGUAAUACGUAGGGGGCAAGCGUUAUCCGGAUUUACUGGGUGUAAAGGGAGCGUAGACGGCGAAGCAAGUCAGAUGUGAAAGGUCAGGGCGAAACCCGGGGACUGCAUUUGAAACUGUUGAACUGGAGUGCAGGAGAGGUAAGAGGAAGGCAGAGUGGAGAGGUGAAAUGCGGAGAUAGUAGGAGGAGAAGCAGGGGAGAAGGUGGAGUACUGGAAGGGAAAGGAUGUGGAGGCUAGAAAGCGUGGGGAGAAAACAGGAGGAGAGAACCGAGUAGUC
Molecule: ribosomal RNA, 440 nt
Filed under: uncultured bacterium
Lineage: Bacteria
Description: partial 16S ribosomal RNA
Rfam family: Bacterial small subunit ribosomal RNA
Source: RNAcentral